Syngnathus acus (greater pipefish) is the source of this 466-nucleotide long non-coding RNA. RefSeq lists it as uncharacterized. The record is from RefSeq and is a predicted model, not a curated record. Lineage: Eukaryota; Metazoa; Chordata; Actinopteri; Syngnathiformes; Syngnathidae. The transcript is spliced from 2 exons.
GGGGGGAGGAUCCAGCUCGACUCUCUUUUCUGCUUCCACCAAAGGCUGAUCAAAACACACCUCCGUCCUUCUUCCUCUCUUCUCAAGUCGACAGUCCAAAUGCCUCUCUGAGUAUUUUGAGGUCUCAUCAGAACUAAUUUCUGGCCCACUUUUUCUCCUUGGCAGAGCAAAAUGGGGCCAAGGCCUGUCAGCGAUGAGACAAGAUGCGACGAUUCUCUCGUAAACCUUGAGGAGCCCCCGCCCCCACUUUGACUCACGCAUGCCCGGCGGCGUCGGGGAGGAAAGUUGCCUCAUUGCUAUUCUGUCUAUUUUUAUUCGCCUUCUGCGUGGCUUUGCUUCUGCAGAGUUCGUCUAGUGCCCCCCCCUCCAAAAGGAAAAGCGCCGAUUUGAUCCAGCGCAUCUCGGUUGCAAGUAGGCCAUCAGAUGGCAUGCAUGAGGUGAGCCACACACGCAUCUCCUCAAACGU